RNAcentral lists this ribosomal RNA (940 nucleotides) under Mucilaginibacter sp. AD171. RNAcentral's name for it is "bacterial SSU rRNA". It matches the Rfam family "Bacterial small subunit ribosomal RNA", at positions 512 to 1465 of the family's 1533-position model. Lineage: Bacteria; Pseudomonadati; Bacteroidota; Sphingobacteriia; Sphingobacteriales; Sphingobacteriaceae. The record is from RNAcentral.
CAGCCGCGGUAAUACGGAGGAUCCGAGCGUUAUCCGGAUUUAUUGGGUUUAAAGGGUGCGUAGGCGGCCUGUUAAGUCAGGGGUGAAAGACGGUAGCUCAACUAUCGCAGUGCCCUUGAUACUGAUGGGCUUGAAUAUACUAGAGGUAGGCGGAAUGUGACAAGUAGCGGUGAAAUGCAUAGAUAUGUCACAGAACACCAAUUGCGAAGGCAGCUUACUAUGGUAUGAUUGACGCUGAGGCACGAAAGCGUGGGGAUCAAACAGGAUUAGAUACCCUGGUAGUCCACGCCCUAAACGAUGAACACUCGAUGUUGGCGAUAUACGGUCAGCGUCUAAGCGAAAGCGUUAAGUGUUCCACCUGGGGAGUACGCCCGCAAGGGUGAAACUCAAAGGAAUUGACGGGGGCCCGCACAAGCGGAGGAGCAUGUGGUUUAAUUCGAUGAUACGCGAGGAACCUUACCCGGGCUUGAAAGUUAGUGAAUGUGACAGAGACGUCACAGUUCUUCGGAACACGAAACUAGGUGCUGCAUGGCUGUCGUCAGCUCGUGCCGUGAGGUGUUGGGUUAAGUCCCGCAACGAGCGCAACCCCUAUGUUUAGUUGCCAGCAUUUAAGGUGGGGACUCUAAACAGACUGCCUAUGCAAAUAGAGAGGAAGGAGGGGACGACGUCAAGUCAUCAUGGCCCUUACGUCCGGGGCUACACACGUGCUACAAUGGAUGGUACAGAGGGCCGCUACCUGGCAACAGGAUGCCAAUCUCAUAAAGCCAUUCACAGUUCGGAUCGGGGUCUGCAACUCGACCCCGUGAAGUUGGAUUCGCUAGUAAUCGCGUAUCAGCAAUGACGCGGUGAAUACGUUCCCGGGCCUUGUACACACCGCCCGUCAAGCCAUGGAAGCUGGAAGUGCCUGAAGUGCGUAACCGCAAGGAGCGUCCUAGGGUAA